AAUGGGGGAGCGGCCUUUUUAUAGGCGGAGUAAUGGGCCGUGCCCAUGGAUCACGGCGAGAUCCUCGGAAGGAUGAGUAUGGAAAGAUAUCUCGGAGAUAUAGGAGACAUAAUUGGGGAGACUGCCAUCUGGAGGGUAUCCCGUAAUUGUUGGUGUCGUGAUGGAGAAAAUCUCGCAAUGGAUAGUUUCCAAGUAUAGAUAGGAUUCUG
RNAcentral lists this long non-coding RNA (209 nucleotides) under Actinidia chinensis (golden kiwifruit). Its description in RNAcentral is "long non-coding RNA (ACHI_LNC002561)". The record is from RNAcentral. Lineage: Eukaryota; Viridiplantae; Streptophyta; Magnoliopsida; Ericales; Actinidiaceae.